Molecule: RNA transcript, 2715 nt
Organism: Triticum aestivum (bread wheat)
Lineage: Eukaryota; Viridiplantae; Streptophyta; Magnoliopsida; Poales; Poaceae
Exons: 2
Source: RefSeq, a predicted model, not a curated record
CUUGGUGGGCGCGGUUUUGGAACAGCCAUGUCUUCUCUAAUUUUGACAGUGCUUGAGUUUAGAGUAUGGUUAUACUUUUGCUUAGGGUAAGUUAACACGUCUCUUUCUACAAUUUUUAAAUGCUUCUUAUCACGAAGGGAAUUAUGUUUGUAUGGAUAGUGAAUUUUGCAAAGGCUUUUGUACUUGUUGUUUUUAUGUCUAACUACCAACUGUUUAUUCUUAAAUAAAAACAGCAGGGUAAUUGCUUUUCUUACUGGUGCUCCUGAUUAUGAAGAUGGUCAACUAGACACUAAGAGAUAUGGUGAGUAAUAUGCUAGCAAAGGGGAAGAUGUUGACCUCAUGUUGCUCCCUGAGCAGAUACCUUCCUAUAGAGAUCCGGUAAGCUUGUGCUUCUUUUGCAGUAAAAAAAAUUCUAUCCAUUAGUGAAAUUUUGAAACAGGCCACUAUGGUGCUGUUGUUGUUCAAGCAGGAGUAUGUGUACACAUAUUUGCAGGCGAAUGCUAUCCUGAGAUUGACUUACAGUUAAUUGCUAUCCUUAGAUUGACCGAACUUCAGUACAUUACUUCUGUUCUGACUUGAAGAUGUCCUCGAAUGCCAAAUUGCUCUCAAACUUUGAACCCCUUUCAUUUUCUUCCAUGUAAAGUUUUUUUUUAAAUGGCAGUGGAUGUUGAGUAAUCUAUGCUAGCAAUGUGAUGUUAGAAAAGGCGUAUUUCUAGACCUGCUUGUAAAUUACUCCACACAAACAAGUGCAUUUUUCUAGACCUGCUUGUAAAUUACUCCACACAAACAAGCAAAUUCAAUAGACAUUUUUACAAGAAUUCAGUAGAUUUCUUCCCAUGGUUGCUAUUUGUUUCUCUUGACCCCUGGUAAUUACUCUUGGCCCCUGGUACUCCAAGAAGACUAUGCAGUUAUCCUAGACUAUUGCAAUCAUCCUUUCAGGUAGCAAUAGCCUUUUUUGAUUUAAAAGCCUGGCUACCAUGGUCCUUGGGUAUAUUUCAUUCUGUGUGCUAACUAGAGAAGACAUGGCAUGCAUGCAUGCACAUAGGCUGUACUUGUUGAACAGGGGAUUUUUUACCUGGAAAUAUUGGUUUACUCUAAUCCACCCAAACUCAGUCUUCAUUUUACUGAAUUUAGAUUAGAUGUUGACUUGUUUCUACCGGGAGAAGAUGUUGGUUUAUUCUUUAUUUUGAUUGUUGUGGUUGCUCGACAAGUUGCCUCUCAGAUUAUUGCUCUCAGUGCAAACUGGAGUAGAUUAAUUAAUUUGGAGUGUGUGGUCUGUGGUGGGCUCAACUCUUCCUCCUGAUGUUGUAAAAAAAUCUUGUUCCACUGGAUGGAUGGAGCCUCUUUUUUCAUCUGAAAGACACCCCACAUUUCUGAAGAUAGAUACACCUACAGUUUCAGCAGUGAAGUAGUACCACACUCUGAUCUGAUCUGUUUCCAAUUGUAAUAAAAGUUGGUUAUUUACUUAUCAGCUGAGUACAAGUAGUGGAGAUUGACUAGUUGUUUCCUUGUGCAAGGUUCACAGCAAAAAACUGGUAUUGAAUUCGCCGCCGGCUCCGAGACCUCGACCGGACGGACGAAAGGCGGAUUGAAAUCAUUGCUAUGGCGCCGUAUAUUAUAUGCAGUCCCACGUUUUCCCCUUCCUUUAUUUAGGUGAGCAUCAUCACAAAACAUGCAUCGUCAGACAGGUGUAGGUUGACUGAAUAUUGACUGAAUAUUGGGCAGGUGAUAUUGAUCUGAGCAGGAUUUGUUUUUAUCUCUGAAUUUGUAUGAUAUGUGAACCCCAAAACAUGCAUCGUCAGACAGGAAAAGGGGAGGUGUUCACCAUUCUAUAGAGAGCAGAAAGAUUGAUGGCUAGGGAAACUCAUGGAGAAAAGAAGACAAAGUUCUUCAGUUAACAUUGACUGACUGAAUAUCUACUGAUUUUUUCAGUUAACUCAUGGAGCAAAUCCUUACAGUACCUUCUCCCUGAUGAAUGUAGCUCUGGCGGCAGCACGGGCAGACGAGCAGCAGUAGUACGGGUAGACGAGCAGCAGCAGUACAGGCAAAGGAGCUCCACCGGCGGCAGGGGACAAGCAGCCGCACGGGCGCGCGGGCAGGGGAGAAGGAGCAGCACGAGCUUGCGCGGGAGAUUGAGGAAGACGCGCGGGAGAUUGAGGAUCACACGCGCGAGCUCCCGGUCCACUGGAUCAUGGAGGCAGGCUCCGGCGACGCCGGUAGGGGAUCGCGGCGGCGCACGCGUGGGAGCUCCAGCAGGAUGCGCGGGAGCGCGAUGGAUGACGCACGCGAGCUUGAGGAGGAUGCACGGGGGUUCCAGGAGGGACGCGCGCGGCAGGAGAUUCCGGCGAAGCCCACAGGCAGCGGGAGGGGACCGCCGGCGCAGGUCUGGGCUGCGGCAGCAGAGGAGGUAAUUGGCGACGACGGCGAGAGCAGGUACUUGGCGAAGCUGAGAGCAGGUACUUGGCUACGGCGGAGGAGCUCAGCUGGGCUCGCCGGCCCCUGGCGAAUCACGCAGCUGGGUGGCGCCGGCCCCUGGCGACGCGCAGGCGACGGGCGGAGGAAGAAGACGGGGCGGAGGGGCUUGUUCGAAACGCUUUUCAAACCACGAGGGGUUUUUUGUAAAAUUAUCAGUGAACUACGCCCGCGACAUGUUUUUCGGGACGGAGGGAGUACAAGUUAAUAUUUUGAAUACAUGGUCAACAUUUUUUAUUUACA